CAAGUAGAGAGGGUGAUCGCCUUUCGGGCUUGACCCGGAAGGAGGAAAGUCCGAGCACCACAGGGCAGCGUGCUUCCUAACGGGAAGGGGGGGUGACCCUACGGAAAGUGCCACAGAAAAUAUACCGCCUGAGACUUCUCAGGUAAGGGUGAAAAGGUGGGGUAAGAGCCCACCGCUUCGAUGGUGACAUCGAGGGCACGGUAAACCCCACGCGGUGCAAGGCCAAAUAGGCUCCGUUGCAACCUGGCCCGGUUCAUCCACCGUUCAUUCGGUGGAUGCGGAGCGGGUGAGCCGCUUGAGGAUUGGGGCGACCCAAUUCCUAGACGAAUGAUCACCGCCCUGCAAAGGGUUACAGAACUCGGCUUACAUCUCUGCUUGCCGG
Molecule: RNase P RNA, 382 nt
Filed under: Acidobacteriota bacterium
Lineage: Bacteria; Pseudomonadati; Acidobacteriota
Description: Acidobacteria bacterium RNase P RNA component class A
Rfam family: Bacterial RNase P class A
About the family: Ribonuclease P (RNase P) is a ubiquitous endoribonuclease, found in archaea, bacteria and eukarya as well as chloroplasts and mitochondria.
Source: RNAcentral